This is a long non-coding RNA of Papaver somniferum (opium poppy), 2205 nucleotides long. RefSeq lists it as uncharacterized. Lineage: Eukaryota; Viridiplantae; Streptophyta; Magnoliopsida; Ranunculales; Papaveraceae. The record is from RefSeq and is a predicted model, not a curated record. The transcript is spliced from 5 exons.
UCCAACUAACUAAUAACUUACACUUGGUUUACACCAAAAACUUAACUGUACGUUAUUAACGCCAGUUAGGUAGACAAUACAUUCGUUACUGUUGCUAAACCUAAAUGAGAAAUCUACCGCCAUAUAAUCAGAGAAACCCCUGCCAUACUUAACUGUUCCUCCUGUCUUCCUCUUCAACAGCUAACCCUAGCUGCCGCUCCAACGCCAUAUACUCAGAGACUUUUUCUGAGUUUUUAAGCCUUCGAUCAGCCAGACUUAGCAGCUCCAUGUGUUGGCAUAUUGCCCUCAUUUUUCAGGUGUGGCUGCAUACAUGAAAUUUAUCAGAUACUGAAGUUUCCUUGCAGUGCUGAGUCGAGGCAAAAUUUUCUCAAAUAACAGUAUAACUCCAUGAAAGUAUGAAACUGAAUUGCUUUCUUUGAAACUCAUUCUAGCUGAACAAAGUAACAAUGCGAGAAGGAUGCAUGAGCACCAAUUAGAGUAAACAUAUGGAGCAACUGUAAGGAAAACAAUAAUCAAAACAGGCACAAGUAGAGAUCAUAUAGCGGUGGUGACUGAAGUCAGAACGUCUUUUGCUUAGACUAGGCAUGGACAAUGUGGAUUGAGUUCAACAAACAAUGGAAGCUUAUCCUCAUGUCAUCCUUGACAACUUCAGUAGAACAAAAUUCAUCCUAAUCUAAUUUUUUUUGGAUUUUGUAGCAUUUAUUAUCAAUGUAUAGAAAAGAAGUGAAAAUCACGUGUUGUUCUUUUUUGCAGCUCUGCUGAUCUCUUAAAACCAGAAGUAGAACUUAAAGGAAAGGAGUGUGCAGUCGUUCGCCAGAGGCAAUUGUGUCUGCACAAAUUACCCUGAGAUAUCCUAGAUGAUAUACUCAGCCAUGGAAUGUCAGAACUGAGCUAUGGACUUUUGAAAUAAGCAUGUUACUAGGUAGAAAAGAUGAAUCUUUCUGGUAUUCUUAAGGUUGAAACUGCACAAGAUGCUCCUAAGUUUGGUGGUGGUUAUGCUGAUUGUGGAGAUUGUGGACCUGGUGCAACAAAGAGAACCUGAUAAUAGUAUUUCGUUGAUUCCAUAUCCUCUCAAUAUCUCUCACUACCGUCAUUUUUGUAAUAUUCUUAUGGUUGUACGUGAUAUAUUUGGUUAUAUGGGUCUGUUAAUAUCUAGGAAUUAUGAAUCAUUUUGCUAAAACAUGUUUUUCAAUUAUCUAUAGGUUUAACUGAUGCAGUCACAGGCAUCCGCUACAAUUACAUGAUAACAUAGGUACUGUCAUAGUAGCUGUCUCAGAGUCUCAUUCGUAGGCAGGUGAUUACAGAAAAUCUUCCUCAGGCAUGUUUGAAAAAAAUUGGAUUUUAUUCUAAUGGAAACUUGAUAUGAGCCAGUUAAAUUAUAGGUUUCUUUUAGAUGGCAAUGGGUUCAGAAGAAGAUGAAAUACGAUCUUCACAAUAUUGGUGGUGCUCUACGCAGUAUAAGAGGAAGGAACAUCUGUUAACUGAAGCGGAUUCUACAUAUUUCCCAGUUUUGAUUGUUGGUUUGACAUUACUUCCUGGGCACUUGGGUUUUGUAUGGAAGCACAUUCAGUUCACUUGAUUAAUACAUGCAUGAUAGAUGCACAUGCUAUCUGUACAGCUCAUAUCAUCAAGAGUGGUGUAUUUAUGGAAGAUUCACCCAAAUAGUUGAUGUGGAUGAAGAUCUAAUACAGCGAGAUCCAACGAUGUUGUUGCCUAUGAAGCCAAUAAUUGGCAAGAACAAGGCUUUGCAGUAUAUUCAGUUGGACCUCUGGUAUCCUAGAUCUUACACAUGAACAUUUUUGCAAGAGAAUUCAGGUCAGCUCAAGCCUAAGGUGGGCAUACGAACGUGAAUACUUAAAGAAUAUGAUCAUUAUAGUGUCAAACAUCGUGUUGUGAAUACAAAUAUGACUACAGCGUUGUAUCACUAACUCGAUGUUGUGGAUGGAGAUGGAAGAGGAUCUAUUGGUUUUGCUGCUGCUGAAGGAAGAGUUGAUGUUUGUAGAUGCUUGAAGAGUUGGAUCUUUGUUUAUGAUGACGUUGUCUUUAACUCCUCGUGGAGCCAGAAAUUGCAUCAACUUCAUAACAGUUGGUUUUUGCAUUCGAUGAGCUACAAAAUUAUAUAAAUGAGUAAUCCAAUACUAUGAUUUACCGACAGUAACACUGCACAGAAUAAGAAAACAAAUUGAAGAGUGUAUGAUUUUGCUA